ACUACCGAUAACCGUUUGAGAGAAGGGAUGACACAGUAGGAUAAGCUAAGCACACUGUUGGUUAUGUGUGCCCAAGCAUUGAGGCAGUCAAAGCAGGCAAAUCCGCUUUGAUAAUGCUGGGAUGUGAUGGGGAGCGAAAUUUAGUAGCGAAGUAGCUGAUUUCACACUGUCAAGAAAAGUCUCUAUCGAGGUUAAAGGUACCCGUACCGCAAACCGACACAGGUGGGUGAGGAGAGUAUCCUAAGGCCAGCGAGAGAACUGUUGUUAAGGAACUCGGCAAAAUGACCCCGUAACUUAGGGAUAAGGGGUGCCACCAUCCGGUGGCCGCAGAGAAUAGGCCCAAGCGACUGUUUACCAAAAACAUAGGUUUCUGCUAAGUCGCAAGACGAUGUAUAGGAGCUGACGCCUGCCCGGUGCUGGAAGGUUAAGGGGAUCUGUUAGAGCAAUCGAAGCAGUGAACUUAAGCCCCAGUAAACGGCGGCCGUAACUAUAACGGUCCUAAGGUAGCGAAAUUCCUUGUCGGGUAAGUUCCGACCCGCACGAAAGGCGUAACGAUUUGGGCACUGUCUCAACAACAGACUCGGUGAAAUUGUAAUUCCGGUGAAGAUGCCGGAUACCUGCGACAGGACGGAAAGACCCCAUGGAGCUUUACUGUAGCUUGACAUUGGGUCUUGGUACUACAUGUACAGGAUAGGUGGGAGGCUUUGAAACCAGGACGCCAGUUUUGGCGGAGCCAUCCUUGGGAUACCACCCUUGUAGUACUGGGACUCUAACCAUAGGCCAUGAAUCUGGUCUUGGGACACUGUCAGGUGGGCAGUUUGACUGGGGCGGUCGCCUCCCAAAAGGUAACGGAGGCGCUCAAAGGUUCUCUCAGUACGGUCGGAAAUCGUACGUAGAGUGUAAAGGCAAAAGAGAGCUUGAUUGCAAGACAUACAGGUCGAGCAAGGAUGAAAAUCGGACUUAGUGAUCCGGUGGUUCUGCGUGGAAGGGCCAUCGCUCAACGGAUAAAAGCUACCCUGGGGAUAACAGGCUUAUCUCCCCCAAGAGUCCACAUCGACGGGGAGGUUUGGCACCUCGAUGUCGGCUCAUCACAUCCUGGGGCUGUAGUAGGUCCCAAGGGUUGGGCUGUUCGCCCAUUAAAGUGGUACGCGAGCUGGGUUCAGAACGUCGUGAGACAGUUCGGUCCCUAUCCGUCGCAGGCGUAGGAAAUUUGAGAAGACCUGUCCUUAGUACGAGAGGACCGGGAUGGACG
Molecule: ribosomal RNA, 1252 nt
Filed under: Clostridioides difficile
Lineage: Bacteria; Bacillati; Bacillota; Clostridia; Peptostreptococcales; Peptostreptococcaceae
Description: partial 23S ribosomal RNA
Rfam family: Bacterial large subunit ribosomal RNA
Source: RNAcentral